UUAUCUUGAAACUCAAAGGAUUUGGCGGUAACCUAGUCUAUUUAGAGGAACCUGUCCUGUAAUCGAUAGUCCACGCAAUAUCUUGCUUUAUCUUGUAGAAACCAGCUUGUAUACCGUCAUUAUUAGAUAACUUUAAAAAAAUUAUAGAGUUAUUGCAAUAGUUUAGCUAAUAAAUUAGAUCAAGGUGCAGCUUAUGGUAGAGUAGAGAUGGGUUACAAUAUAAUAGGCAUACACGGAGUAAUAAAUGAAUACUUAUUAUGAAGGUGGAUUUAAGAGUAAA
Molecule: ribosomal RNA, 280 nt
Filed under: Penaeus japonicus
Lineage: Eukaryota; Metazoa; Arthropoda; Malacostraca; Decapoda; Penaeidae
Description: partial small subunit ribosomal RNA
Source: RNAcentral